CUCAUUACUUCCCAGUAUCUGAUUGGGAGAAGCUGACCAGAAUUUUAACAGAAUCAUGAGAGCACUACAAUGAGCUUCAUGCUGCAAUGAACCUGUGGUCUAAGGCUGCCACACAGCACAUCAUGACCCACUGGCCUGCUACUGGUCAUGUCAAAUGUUCCAUAGAGCCCUGAGGGAGACUGGUUUGAGCCAUCCAGGAAGCAGUGACUGUAGAAACUGCACUGAGCCUGGAGCCAGAUGUCAUGCAGUCUAAGAUAGCUGAAGUUUGUUGUGCUGCCUCUCUGUCAACGGAAGAGAACCUCCUCAAUCACAGAGCCUUCAAAAUUUGACCCUGGCCUACUGCUCUGUGGAUUGUCUGGUUUCAUACAUAGGCUGUUCUUGGGUCAUUGUUUACAUUCACAUUUGAGGUAAAAUCCACUAGAGAUGAUCACUGGAAAAAGAAAUUCACAGAAGAUGAAUUGAGAAAAUGAGGUGCCUGUGGUGAAAUUCUGGGUAAAAGCACAAAAUUAACUGUCA
Serinus canaria (Common canary) is the source of this 516-nucleotide long non-coding RNA. RefSeq lists it as uncharacterized. The record is from RefSeq and is a predicted model, not a curated record. NCBI's taxonomy places the organism in Eukaryota, Metazoa, Chordata, Aves, Passeriformes, Fringillidae. The transcript has 5 exons.